UACAGAGGUCCCGAGCGUUGUUCGGAUUCACUGGGCGUAAAGGGUGCGUAGGUGGCGAGGAAAGUCGGAUGUGAAAGCUCGGAGCUCAACUCCGAAACUGCAUUCGAUACUGCCGUGCUUGAGGACUGGAGAGGAGACUGGAAUUUACGGUGUAGCGGUGAAAUGCGUAGAUAUCGUAAGGAAGACCAGUGGCGAAGGCGGGUCUCUGGACAGUUCCUGACGCUGAGGCACGAAGGUCAGGGGAGCAAACGGG
Molecule: ribosomal RNA, 253 nt
Filed under: uncultured bacterium
Lineage: Bacteria
Description: partial 16S ribosomal RNA
Rfam family: Bacterial small subunit ribosomal RNA
Source: RNAcentral